RNAcentral lists this ribosomal RNA (433 nucleotides) under uncultured bacterium. RNAcentral describes it as "partial 16S ribosomal RNA". It matches the Rfam family "Bacterial small subunit ribosomal RNA", at positions 29 to 507 of the family's 1533-position model. The record is from RNAcentral.
AACGAACGCUGGCGGCAUGCCUAACACAUGCAAGUCGAACGAGACCUUCGGGUCUAGUGGCGCACGGGUGCGUAACGCGUGGGAACCUGCCCUUAGGUUCGUAAUAACUCCCCGAAAGGGGUGCUAAUACCGGAUAAUGUCUUCGGACCAAAGAUUUAUCGCCUUUGGAUGGGCCCGCGUUGGAUUAGCUAGUUGGUAGGGUAAAAGCCUACCAAGGCGACGAUCCAUAGCUGGUCUGAGAGGAUGAUCAGCCACACUGGGACUGAGACACGGCCUAGACUCCUACGGGAGGCAGCAGUGGGGAAUAUUGGACAAUGGGCGAAAGCCUGAUCCAGCAAUGCCGCGUGAGUGAUGAAGGCCUUAGGGUUGUAAAGCUCUUUUACCCGGGAUGAUAAUGACAGUACCGGGAGAAUAAGCUCCGGCUAACUCCGUG